This 519-nucleotide ribosomal RNA is filed under the name uncultured eukaryote. RNAcentral describes it as "SSU rRNA". It matches the Rfam family "Eukaryotic small subunit ribosomal RNA", at positions 1161 to 1699 of the family's 1831-position model. The record is from RNAcentral.
AGGGCACCACCAGGAGUGGAGCCUGCGGCUUAAUUUGACUCAACACGGGAAAACUCACCCGGCCCGGACACUGGAAGGAUUGACAGAUUGAGAGCUCUUUCUUGAUUCAGUGGGUGGUGGUGCAUGGCCGUUCUUAGUUGGUGGAGUGAUUUGUCUGGUUAAUUCCGAUAACGAACGAGACUCUAGCCUACUAAAUAGAUCGUCGGCUUACAAACGCCGGCGAGACUUCUUAGAGGGACAGGCGGUGAUUCAACCGCACGAAACAGAGCAAUAACAGGUCCGUGAUGCCCUUAGAUGUCCGGGGCCGCACGCGCGCUACACUGAAGUGAUCAGCGUGCUUUUUCAACCUACUCUGUCGAGAGUGGGGAACCCAAUGAACCUUCUUCGUGAUUGGGAUAGGGGAUUGUAAUUAUUCCCCUUGAACGAGGAAUUCCCAGUAAGCGCGAGUCAUAAGCUCGCGUUGAUUACGUCCCUGCCCUUUGUACACACCGCCCGUCGCUACUACCGAUUGAAUGUUUU